RNAcentral lists this long non-coding RNA (145 nucleotides) under Nannospalax galili (Upper Galilee mountains blind mole rat). RNAcentral describes it as "Deleted in lymphocytic leukemia 2 conserved region 6 (ENSNGAG00000009310.1)". It matches the Rfam family "Deleted in lymphocytic leukemia 2 conserved region 6". Lineage: Eukaryota; Metazoa; Chordata; Mammalia; Rodentia; Spalacidae. The record is from RNAcentral.
AGGCUCUGCCAACUGCCCUUUGCUCUGAGUUAUUUUUUUGAAGAUUUUGUGUGUGUGUGUGAUUUUGUUUGACAGAGUCCUAGCAAUGCUAUACCCUCGGACAGAUUCUUGAGUCCCUCCGACUAGGUUGAUAAGAUCAAUUAUC